Misgurnus anguillicaudatus (oriental weatherfish) is the source of this 1818-nucleotide non-coding RNA. Lineage: Eukaryota; Metazoa; Chordata; Actinopteri; Cypriniformes; Cobitidae. The record is from RefSeq and is a predicted model, not a curated record.
GAGGUUUCGGACGAAGCCAGUGUCGUGGACAAAUGCGGAACUAUGCGCUUGCUUAUGGACUUAUGGAUAUCUCUGUACCGUCUGCCGCUGGUUGUGUCAGCUCCUGUAAGCGUACGGGCCAACCAAACGACCCAAGAAGAGUUUGGAACAAAACGAGGGAGGAUCAAUUUGGUGUUGCAUUAUCUGGAUAGAGAGAGCUUCAUGACAACAUUUAAUUAGACCGAGAUUCUGAUCCUGCUUGUGUUUUACGCGAUGGGUGAGUUGUUUUGAUUCGUAAUGCGGCUUUCACAUAGGAUGCGGUGUGCGCUGCGCUCGCCGCUGGGUUCGGCGCAGCCAAGCGAUUUGUGCUUUGAUGGCCAGACCAAAGUAGGCGGGGUUUUCAAUAAAUUACUACAGUGUUUAUAUUUGCGUUAAAUAGUCGACGAGGAAUACAGAGACUGAUGUUGCUCGUCUCCAUUUCACAUAACUUUAAGCAUACCUACAACAAGCUGCUUGACUUAAAACACACCUGACAUGCCAACUUGAAUUGCUACGUGUUUCCAUGAGACGGCUUUCCUUCCGAUGUCUUUGUAGGAGCAUAAACUUGUAUAAUAAAGCCCUUGGAAUCCCGAGUAUAAGCUUUCGUCCAUUUUGCUUGUUUGGAUGCCCCGCUGCGCUCGCGCUUUGCUCGGCGCAACAAAAAACCGCCCUCGCGCGGCGCAAGCCAUUGAAAUGAAUGGGUUUCAUAGCGCAGCGCAGCGCACACCGCAUCCUAUGUGAAAGCCGCAUAACCCUUCAAAAAAACGUAUGCUAUUAUAUUGAUCACAACAUUAGUGUGUAGAUUGUAAUCAGCGCGUCUUCCCGCGGACGAUAUGCACAUCAAAGGUAGCCUAUUGUGAGAUUCUGAUUCUGCUUGUGUUUUACGCGAUGGGUGAGUUGUUUUGAUUCGUAACCCUUCAAAAAACGUAUGCUAUUAUAUUGAUCACAACAUUAGUGUAAUCAGCGCGUCUUUCCGCGGACGAUAUGCACAUCAAAAGGUAUUGUACAGCAAUAUAAAUGGUCAUUUUAAGACACUUCACAAUAAGAUUUGUACUGUCAAUACAUUAUGUGAAAAAUCAUUGUAGAUUGUAAGUUGAAAACUUAAUUCUGAGCUGUGUUUACUGUAGCAUAAUGACCUGAAUGCUCAUUGGUCCACAUUCUGAGUUAGGUGACGUCAUUCACCUGCGCUUGCAUUUAGGCUCAGCGUGUGCGUCUUCAGGAACGCUCGUCUGUUUGCUUUAUGCUGCACGCUGUUGUUACCGUUUCCAGCGUGUCUUUUGUUUGGGAACUCUCGCCUGUCUGUUUAAUGCUGCACGCUGCUGUAACCGCUAUUAGCGUGUUUGUUGUGAACUCUUGCCUUAUGGUUUGCUGCACACGGCUGUGACCGGUUUAAACGGAUGACAACUUUCUAGUUGCGUUUCCUUCCAACGUGGUUUUGGCUUAUUCGGAUGGCUGUUGUGCGGGCUUCUGUGGACUUCAGGUACGGUUCAUUUGUUGGUGCGUGAAUGACGACUGCAUUAAACUAUUGAGUGGGGGUGUCCUUUUGAGUGCCUGGCCCCGCAGUUACGGAGAACUACAGUUCGUGUAGUGUCAUCGCUGUUUUGUUAUAGGCCAGUUUGAUACUACUGACACAAUGUUGUGACACCGCUGUGCUUCAUCUCCUCCUGCAUAUUAUCUGUGUAUACGUAAUCCCUCAUUGGAGAUUAGGUCCAUACCAUAAGACUUUACAAUUGCCUCCUUUUGUUUUCUGUAUAUUUGUUUUGCAGAAUGAGUUAAAUUUCAGUUUUCUUUGUUUAAUUU